AACGAACGCUGGCGGCAGGCUUAACACAUGCAAGUCGAGCGCAUCCUUCGGGGUGAGCGGCGGACGGGUGAGUAACGCGUGGGAACGUGCCCUCUUCUACGGAAUAGCCUCGGGAAACUGAGAGUAAUGCCGUAUACGCCCGCAAGGGGAAAGAUUUAUCGGAGGAGGAUCGGCCCGCGUUGGAUUAGGUAGUUGGUGGGGUAACGGCCUACCAAGCCGACGAUCCAUAGCUGGUUUGAGAGGAUGAUCAGCCACACUGGGACUGAGACACGGCCCAGACUCCUACGGGAAGCAGCAGUGGGGAAUCUUGGAAAAUGGGGGCAACCCUGAUCCAGCCAUGCCGCGUGAUCGAUGAAGGCCUUAGGGUUGUAAAGAUCUUUCAGCUGGGAAGAUAAUGACGGUACCAGCAGAAGAAGCCCCGGCUAACUCCGUG
This 433-nucleotide ribosomal RNA is filed under the name uncultured bacterium. Its description in RNAcentral is "partial 16S ribosomal RNA". It matches the Rfam family "Bacterial small subunit ribosomal RNA", at positions 29 to 507 of the family's 1533-position model. The record is from RNAcentral.